RNA transcript from Prunus dulcis (almond), 3632 nucleotides. It is a transcript of the gene named putative disease resistance RPP13-like protein 1, with no coding region annotated. Lineage: Eukaryota; Viridiplantae; Streptophyta; Magnoliopsida; Rosales; Rosaceae. The transcript is spliced from 9 exons. The record is from RefSeq and is a predicted model, not a curated record.
GAUAGAAGGGCCACUACCACAACUACCAAUAGUCUUAACUAUAAAUCUCUUGAAGAAUUGGAUAUACGUGGUGGAUGCCAAACUCUGUUAUCAUUAUUAGAGACAAAGCUCCUGCCCAACUGCAAUCGUCUUCAACGUUUGACUCUUUGGAAUUGUCCAACGCUGUCAUCGUUUCCCAAAGAUGGCCUACCCACUACAUUGACAUUACUUUAUAUAAACAAUUGUAGGAAAUUAGAAUUCCCACCUCAUGAGAUGUUGGCCAAAUUAACAUCGCUUGACAAUUUGUGCAUUCAAAAUAGCUGUGAUUCAAUGAGGUCCUUCCCGUUGGGCAUUUUUCCCAAAUUGACGACGCUUGGAAUUCAUGAUUGUGAGAAUCUGGAAUCUUUUUCCUUGAUUGAAGAAGAAGGAGCUGUUGAGAAUCUCAGCCAUCUCAAUUCCUUGCAAGUCUAUAACUGUCCAAAAAUGGUGUGUUUUCACGAGGGAGAAUUGCCCACUCCCAACCUGAGUUGCUUUCUAGUCUGUGGUUGCAAGAAUUUGAAGUCAUUGCCCGAACGCCUUCACACCCUCACUGCCCUUCGAUCUUUGUCGAUAUGGAAUCUUCCGAAUCUGGAGUCAUUUGCAGAAGAUGGGGGUUUGCCUCCCAACCUCCGAUCUUUUAGCAUUGGGAAUUGUAAGAGACUGAGGGCUUCAUCAGUGGGAGAGUACUGGGGUUUGCAAGCACUUGACUCCCUUGAGAUCGGUGGAAGUGACCAUGUCUUGGAGACGUUGCUGCUCCCUACCACUCUUCACACUCUCCGCAUCUAUUCUCUAUCAACUCUGAAAUCUUUGGACGGAAAGGGUCUUGGACACCUCACUUCUCUUCAAGGGCUACACAUUGACAGCUGUCCCAGUCUGGAAUUCCUGCCAGGAGAGGAACUUCAACACCUCACUUCUCUUCAAACUCUAAUUAUUAGUUCGUGUGACAGUCUCCAAUGCCUGCCAGAAGAGGGUUUGCCGCCAUCUCUUUCUCAUCUGAGUAUCCGCCGGUGUCCUGCCCUGGAGAAAAGGUAUAAGAAUAAGACGGGACAAGAUUGGGCCAAGAUAUCUCACAUUCCUUGCAUCAAGAUAGGCAACGAAGUGAUCAUAUAAUAUGAGCUAUUCCAUAUUUCACGCUCAACCCUCAACUCUCAAAUCAAAGUCAGGUGAGUCUUUUUGCAGGACGACAUACCUUCUCUUGGCCCUUGGGGAGCUUUUCAAAAUUUGCAAGGUUUCUUUAUGUGGCAUUUCCAGAGGAGGGUCACAGGGCGGAGAAACAGAAAAGGUUUACCUGGAAUAUCUCAAUUGAUACAUUCCUGCAUAUAGGCAUCAAAUGUACACCAUUUUUAGAAGCCUACUUUUGUCCGAGUCAGUAGAUGCCAGAAUGAAGUCAUUGCCUAAACACAUUGGCACCCUCACAGCCUUCGACAUUUUGGGAUAUAUGAUCUUCAAAAUCUUGUGUCAUUUGCCUCCCAAGCUGCAAUAUUUUCAUAUUUUAAAUUGUGACAGACUGAGCCCUUUGGUGGGAGAUUACUGGGGUUUGCAAGGACUUGGUGGCAAUAUCUUGUGGACGUUUCUCAAGGAACAGCUGCUCAAUACCACUCUUCGCACUCUAUAUAUUAUGGCCUGUCAGUCUAUAAUUCCUGCCAGGAGAGGAACUUGAACGCCUCUCUUCACUGCAAAGGCUACAUAUUUGUGGGUGUGACAAUAUCCAAUUCCUGCCAGAAGAGCGUUUGCUGCCAUCUCUUUCUUAUCUGUGCAUCGACCAUUGUUUUGCCAUGUAGAAAAGGUAUCUCACAUUCCUUGCGUCAAGAUAGGUGAAGAAGUGAUCAUAAGAUAUGAGCUCUCUCUCCCUCUCGCUCACAUACAAAUCUUUUCGCAGGACAACAUAUCUUCUCUUGGAGAGAUAUUCAUUUGCAAGGUUUCUUUAUGUGUCAUUUCCAGAGGAGGGUUUACUAUUUAAUAGAAAGGUUCACCUGGAAUAUCUCAACUGACACAUUCCCAAAUACAGGCAUUGAAUGCACAACAUUUUGAGGUUUUACUUAUCUUGAACUGCAGAAGCCUACUUUUUGACAUAGGUGCACAAACUCGCAUCCGCAUUUCCUUCCCCAUUGGCAUGCUGUCUCAUCUUUUCUAUUCUGUUACCAGCUUGAAGCUUGUGUAGACAUGUAAUUCUGAUCACAAUCAUCACUUGACAAAUGGAAAGUCACAAUCAGAUCUUUCAGGAACAGACCAAACACGUUCAUACGUGGCAUUGCUCAAGUCAUCAUCAUUCGGGACAGAGAAUAAGCCUUCAAAUGUCUGCUGAGUCAUGAACCUUUCUAGAUAUCUCAAGUGUAAUGGAAAUUGAUGAGUUACAAAGGAUUUGUAAACAUUUUCUACUGGAGGCUAGAAAUGCUUCAAAUAAAUGACUCUGUUGAGAUUAUUUUGUAGGAUCAAAGACUCUGCAAAGAGUUUGUUGAUCUUGGGCAAGUGGAGAGAGAGGCGUCAAGUGAUACACAACAACCAUUUUCUGUGAGCUGAUUUGAUAAAGAGAAAUGGUAUGCUUUCUUGUCUUAAGCUGUGUGUUCUGCAAUUAUUUGAAACAAAGAGUGCCGCGCUUCAAGUUCGAGAAAAACAGGAAAAAAUGGCAGCAGCUUUGAUUGGAGAGGCUCUCAUCUCUGCUUCUAUCGAGGUGUUGUGUGACAGAGUUACUUCAGCCGAGUUCAUAGACUUAUUUCACCAGAAGAAACUUGAUGAAACACUCCUCAUGAACCUGAAGACGACACUGUUGAUUUUGUUUGCGGUGCUCAGUGAUGCAGAGGAGAAGCAAACUGUGAACCCUGCUGUGAGAGAGUGGCUUAACAGCUCAAGCAUGCUGUCUUUGAUGCAGAGGACUUACUUGAUGAGAUUGACACUGAAGCAUUGCGAUGCAAGCUGGAAGGAACAGACCAAAUAUGUUCACACGUGGCAUCGUUCAAGUCAUCAUCAUUUCAGACAAAAUCAGCCUUCAAGUGUCUGCUGAGUCAAUGAACCUUUCUAGAUAUAUCAAGUGCAAUGGAAAUUCAAGAGUUACAUAGAGAUUUGUAAACAUUUUGAAGAUUGCAACACCUGCAAGUGAGAUAGGUGGUGACGAAAUCAGAGCUGAUCUUGAAGCCUCUGAUGCCCCCCCUUGUUGCAAGUUGCACCUGAGAACGUGUUUUUUUUUGGGUAAAAAACCGGAAACAUGUUCGGGGCUGGCAAUUCAAUCCCUGAUGAACUUGAGAAGCAAAGCUCCAGUAAGGAAAUUGGUCGAGGUCAUGACAGGGAUAAUUGAUGGUGAAAUGGAUGCUAUUUCUUAUUGCAGCCUGUUCUCAAAGUUCUUGUUGGCAAAAGCAAGAGAUGGAGUAUUUUGAUUGGGAGGAGAGAUAAUGACAUGUGUUGACAAUUCUAGAACAGCCCAUCUGAGUUCUUUUGUCAGGCUGCAUCAUUUAAUCCCAGCAAAAAUCCAGUUUUUGCUAAACAAUCAAAUUGUACACAUUUUUUCUUUUCGAGGAAUUUAACAUUACACAUUUUUUCAUUUUUUCAUCAAACAGUUUUCUAAUGCAUUUGUUGUAACAAGUUACAAUCAGGAAUUUGGAUUGAGUUUCUUGUGUUAA